ACGGGAGGCAGCAGUGAGGAAUAUUGGUCAAUGGCCGGAAGGCUGAACCAGCCAAGUAGCGUGAGGGAUGACCGCCCUAUGGGUCGUAAACCUCUUUUGACAGGGAAUAAAGUGAGGCACGUGUGCCUUUUCGCAUGUACCUGUCGAAUAAGCAUCGGCUAACUCCGUGCCAGCAGCCGCGGUAAUACGGAGGAUGCGAGCGUUAUCCGGAUUUAUUGGGUUUAAAGGGAGCGUAGGCGGAAGGUCAAGUCAGCUGUGAAAUGUAGUCGCUCAACGUCUGCACUGCAGUUGAAACUGGCCUCCUUGAGUGCGUAAGAGGCGGGCGGAAUUCGUCGUGUAGCGGUGAAAUGCUUAGAUAUGACGAAGAACUCCGAUUGGGAAGCCAGCUUACUGUAGCGCCACUGACGCUGAUGCUCGAAAGCGUGGGUAUCGAACAGGAUUAGAUACCCUGGUA
This 454-nucleotide ribosomal RNA is filed under the name uncultured Prevotellaceae bacterium. Its description in RNAcentral is "bacterial SSU rRNA". It matches the Rfam family "Bacterial small subunit ribosomal RNA", at positions 341 to 792 of the family's 1533-position model. Lineage: Bacteria; Pseudomonadati; Bacteroidota; Bacteroidia; Bacteroidales; Prevotellaceae. The record is from RNAcentral.